UUAUUACGGAAUACAAGUUACAACGUAUAAUACCCACAACAAAGUAACAACACACUAAUUGUAGAUAGAUAACAUAGAAGAAGGUAACUAGAAGGGGAUGAGAUUCUAGACCAUAGAAAGGAGAUGAGAGGAUCAGAAAGCCAAAGCUUCACAUAAUUUGCAUAAACCUAUUUUGCUCUCCCAAGUCUCUAUUUAUCAACCCGGAUCCCACACAUAGCCUUUUAAUUCGGCUUUGGGCUGCUUUGUCAAUACUGGUCUAGGCCCAUUCAUAACAAUACCUUCAGCCCCAAUAAGAACCUUGUCCUCAAGGUUCAAGUAGUACCAAUUUGAUAUCAUUGUGAGGAUUCUCAUUGGAGCUAUUAAGGAAGCUAUACAUACUAACAUCAGCAAGUUAGAAGCAGGUGUAGGCAAUUCUCUUACAACUUUACCAAUCAGCAGUACAUUGCUCCAAAUUAUCACAGUGCGACUCCAACCUUACGCUUUUAGGAGAUAAAGCCUCUGGAUUUUCACCACGAAAUCGUCCUAGUUCCACCGGAGCUGGCCUAUGACGGAGUGUGGGGGCUUCAAGAGUGUCUUUCCCGUGAUGAGGACGAGCAACCUCCAUUGUUGGAUCUCGAAUGUGAGGCCCUGCCGGAACGAACUUUUCGGUAACCUCCUCUAACAUAUGGCGAAUGUCUGCAAUAUCUUUGGAAAAUGACUCUUUCGCCUCCUUAAUGGAUUCAUUGAUGAGAGCCUUGAGUCUUUGGUCCCAUGAGAAACCUCUCAAUGAAUGCACCAAUGUAACAAACUCAAUUUUCAACACAAACACUGAUAUAUAUAUAUAUAUUGUUAUUACGGAAUACAAGUUACAACGUAUAAUACCCACAACAAAGUAACAACACACUAAUUGUAGAUAGAUAACAUAGAAGAAGGUAACUAGAAGGGGAUGAGAUUCUAGACCAUAGAAAGGAGAUGAGAGGAUCAGAAAGCCAAAGCUUCACAUAAUUUGCAUAAACCUAUUUUGCUCUCCCAAGUCUCUAUUUAUCAACCCGGAUCCCAC
Molecule: long non-coding RNA, 1039 nt
Filed under: Solanum tuberosum (potato)
Lineage: Eukaryota; Viridiplantae; Streptophyta; Magnoliopsida; Solanales; Solanaceae
Description: long non-coding RNA (STUB_LNC008274)
Source: RNAcentral